UUGUUAACAUCCCAAUCAAUACCACCACGACACAAAAUCCAGCUUCAACUUUCCAGCUGCAGCGCGGGCCGUAGGGCUUUUUUUUAUUUUCUUUCCCAGCUAACACCCUAAAUCCUAUUUUUCCAGCUCCUUUGAGCCCCGCUGGGAGAUAUUAAGGUGUUAUUAUCGCUCCCCGUUGCUGCGGGGGAACGGGGGGAAUGCUAACGAGGGAGACUCGUCCUGUCCUCUCCAUCAGUUCACCUCUCCCACCGCUGCGAGCUUUUAAAAAUAACAAAUUGCGGGUUAUCCUUCCUUUCUUUGGGAGGGUGACCUUUAGGGUUUGCAACGCACUUCGCCGAGGGAUAAAAAAAGAAAUUUAUUUUCCAGGAGAAAAAGGAGAGGAUAGCUGCGAUUCUCAGAGGCAUUAGGAAUUGGACCUUGAGGGGGGUAAAAAAGAGUAUUUUGAGGAGCCUGAUAAAUUGAAGAGCUGCUGGAAUGUGGAUUCGUCAGGAGCAGGCAGCAUCCAGGAAUAUUCCCAUGGGCAAAAGGAAAAGCAUCCUAUUCCCGUUGAAGCCAGCGGCAAAUCCCUGGAUGUGCAGGACCCGGAUACAAACAGGGGUGACCUCUCUUUGUUCGGGGUGCAGAUCCAGGACCACUCUUCCCAGAGGCCUUCCCUCCCUCCCAGCAUCCUGGCUGACAUCCCCCCCACCUUCCCGUUCAGCCCCGGAUAAACGAUGGAGAAUCAGGCUGGAGAUCUUCCUGCAACACUAUUUGAUAAAAUAUAAUUCAAACAUUUCCUCUGUGUUAACAGCUCUGAAAUAAAACCCCCAGAACACAGGAAUAUGUGAUAUCCAUAA
Molecule: non-coding RNA, 836 nt
Organism: Taeniopygia guttata (zebra finch)
Lineage: Eukaryota; Metazoa; Chordata; Aves; Passeriformes; Estrildidae
Source: RefSeq, a predicted model, not a curated record